RNAcentral lists this transfer RNA (71 nucleotides) under Ictidomys tridecemlineatus (thirteen-lined ground squirrel). RNAcentral describes it as "Spermophilus tridecemlineatus (thirteen-lined ground squirrel) tRNA". It matches the Rfam family "tRNA". Rfam says of the family: Transfer RNA (tRNA) molecules are approximately 80 nucleotides in length. Their secondary structure includes four short double-helical elements and three loops (D, anti-codon, and T loops). Further hydrogen bonds mediate the characteristic L-shaped molecular structure. tRNAs have two regions of fundamental functional importance: the anti-codon, which is responsible for specific mRNA codon recognition, and the 3' end, to which the tRNAs corresponding amino acid is attached (by aminoacyl-tRNA synthetases). tRNAs cope with the degeneracy of the genetic code in two manners: having more than one tRNA (with a specific anti-codon) for a particular amino acid; and 'wobble' base-pairing, i.e. permitting non-standard base-pairing at the 3rd anti-codon position. The record is from Rfam by way of RNAcentral. Lineage: Eukaryota; Metazoa; Chordata; Mammalia; Rodentia; Sciuridae. RNAcentral also lists the same sequence under 1 other name.
GUGGUUGUGGCUCAGCGGUAGAGCACUUGCCUGGCAUGUGUGAGGCACUGGGCUCGAUCCUCAGCACCACA